This 465-nucleotide ribosomal RNA is filed under the name uncultured Treponema sp. Its description in RNAcentral is "bacterial SSU rRNA". It matches the Rfam family "Bacterial small subunit ribosomal RNA", at positions 338 to 795 of the family's 1533-position model. The record is from RNAcentral. Lineage: Bacteria; Pseudomonadati; Spirochaetota; Spirochaetia; Treponematales; Treponemataceae.
CCUACGGGAGGCUGCAGUGAGGAAUAUUCCGCAAUGGACGAAAGUCUGACGGAGCGACGCCGCGUGGAUGAAGAAGGCCGAAAGGUUGUAAAAUCCUUUUGCUGAUGAAGAAUAAGUGUGGUAGGGAAUGACCGCAUGAUGACAUUAGUCGGUGAAUAAGCCCCGGCUAACUACGUGCCAGCAGCCGCGGUAACACGUAGGGGGCAAGCGUUGUUCGGAAUUAUUGGGCGUAAAGGGCAUGUAGGCGGUUUUGUAAGCCUGGUGUGAAAUCCUGCAGCUUAACUGUAGAAUUGCAUUGGGUACUGCGAGACUUGAAUCACAGAGGGGAAACUAGAAUUCCAGGUGUAGGGGUGGAAUCUGUAGAUAUCUGGAAGAAUACCGGUGGCGAAGGCGGGUUUCUAGCUGAUGAUUGACGCUGAGGUGCGAAAGUGCGGGGAGCAAACAGGAUUAGAUACCCCUGUAGUC